RNAcentral lists this unclassified non-coding RNA (217 nucleotides) under Hevea brasiliensis (rubber tree). Lineage: Eukaryota; Viridiplantae; Streptophyta; Magnoliopsida; Malpighiales; Euphorbiaceae. The record is from RNAcentral.
UUGACAGACAAGAGCAAGCUUGAUGCUCACCCUGAGUUCUUCAUCCAUAUUAUUCCUGACAAAACUAACAACACAUUGUCCAUCAUUGACAGUGGUAUUGGGAUGACCAAGGCUGAUUUGGUGAACAAUCUUGGUACAAUUGCAAGGUCUGGUACCAAAGAAUUUGUGGAGGCCUUGGCUGCUGGGGAAGAUGUUAGUAUGAUUGGGCAGUUUGGUG